AAAAAGACAAACCCUGAAUUUUCGUGUCCAACUUUGACCGUCCGUCUUAUAUGAAAUUUUUUUAUAAUUCGUAUUUUCAUUGUUGUUAGAUGAUAAAACAUGAUUAAUAUUUUAUGCGUGACUUGUCUUUUUAAUUUUUUUAUAUUUUUUUCAAAUAAGACGGACGGUCAAACAUUGGACACGGAAACUAGGGUUUGUCUUUUU
RNAcentral lists this microRNA precursor (204 nucleotides) under Oryza rufipogon (brownbeard rice). RNAcentral describes it as "MIR812 microRNA precursor family". It matches the Rfam family "MIR812 microRNA precursor family". The record is from Rfam by way of RNAcentral. Lineage: Eukaryota; Viridiplantae; Streptophyta; Magnoliopsida; Poales; Poaceae.